UUAGAAAACAAAAGAUUGAAACACCAAAAAACAUAAAGAAAACCCAAAGUAACGAAGAAAAAAUUUAAACAAAAGACUCCCUCUUGGAUUCUGUACUUAAAAGGUACUGUCAGCAUCUCACUCUUGGGAUCCUAGCACUAAAUAUGAGAAACACACAACACAAAUCUUUUUGAGGAAAAAGCAUAUGUGCAAAGAGCAAACACUCUUUUUUUUUUUAAUCUUUAUUUAUUUAUUUUUAAUUCCACCAAAAUGUAAGAUGGAGAAAAAAAAUAUAUAUAUACAGUCCAGAAUUAGAAAAACACACAAAAACAAAG
Molecule: long non-coding RNA, 314 nt
Filed under: Marmota monax (woodchuck)
Lineage: Eukaryota; Metazoa; Chordata; Mammalia; Rodentia; Sciuridae
Source: RNAcentral